GGGUCCGGACACACUGAGGAUUGACAGAUAUACGCUCAUUGCAGUUCGCUGCAUGAGCUGAAAGAUGCUAGUUCUUUCAUGAUUAUGUGAUAGGUGGUGCAUGGCCGUUCUUAGUUCGUGGAGUGAUCUGUCUGCUUAAUUGCGUAUCAAUAAUAGAGACCUAGUAUACGCGUGGAUUUCGUGUGGUAGUGACCCCCUGUUUAACGACAGGCGUGUGUCGCACACGCGUACCUACGCACUGGUCUCAGAUAGCAACGAACGUGACCGUAUUCUAUUGUUGCAGUGAAAUGUGCCUUCGGGUACGACCCACUGCUUAGUAUAUGUACGUGCUUCGGCGCGAACAAUAUACAUUAAACUAUAGAGACCGCUGUUUCUUCUUUAAACCAGAGGAAGGAUACGGCAAUAACAGGUCUGUGAUGCCCUCAGAUGUUCCGGGCUGCACACGUGCUACAAUGAUCAUUGCACUGUGCAUCUAACCCAAUGUGCGCGGGACGCCGCAUGCAUGUGCCUUCGGGGUACACGCAUUGCUGUUGCGACCACGCCGAACCUACUUCGAAAGUAAAAUUUCUCAGUGGGU
RNAcentral lists this ribosomal RNA (577 nucleotides) under Ammonia sp. genotype T2. RNAcentral's name for it is "bacterial SSU rRNA". The stretch from base 1 to 451 matches the Rfam family "Eukaryotic small subunit ribosomal RNA", at positions 1220 to 1501 of the family's 1831-position model. The record is from RNAcentral. Lineage: Eukaryota; Foraminifera; Rotaliida; Rotaliidae.